Long non-coding RNA from Apis mellifera (honey bee), 1199 nucleotides. RefSeq lists it as uncharacterized. The record is from RefSeq and is a predicted model, not a curated record. The transcript is spliced from 2 exons. NCBI's taxonomy places the organism in Eukaryota, Metazoa, Arthropoda, Insecta, Hymenoptera, Apidae.
UAAAAAAAUAAAAUAUAUAAAAAUGAAUGAGCUAAUUCUUUGAAAUAAUUCUUAUGAAAGUAAAUGGUUGUUAAUAAAUUAGAGAAUAAUGAAUAUAUACAGCAGGCAAGAUAGAUUCUAUUUGUUUGCUUGCUUAUAUGUUUGUUUAUUUAUUGUGUGCAUGUGUAUGCGUGUGCGUGUAUAUAUAUAUGUUUAUAUAUAUAUAUAUAUAUAUACUUAUUUAUUUAUUUACUUAUUUUAUUUAUUUAUUUACUUCAUUGUUGUAUGUCAUAUAAUAGUUUUGUGUCGUAUAUUGCAAUUAUCAUAAAUCAAAUUUGAAAAUAGGCUUUAAAUUAUUAUAACAAUAUAUCUUAGAUAAUAAUUGAAGCGCUCCCUGGAAUCAAUAGAGCUGAAAACUCUCGCAACAAUUUUCACGAACUUUUAUCGAAAUUUACGCCUGUAUAUGUAGGGAACCGUUUCAAUUACGAUAUUAUCGCUAUAUAUAUAUAUAUUGAACACUUGUUGAAAUCCCCCGUUAAGAAAGAUUUUCAAAUGUUCAAUUAAAAUGAACAUUUCUUAUACGUAUUAUCGAGUGUUCAUCUAAUAGAAUACUUAAUACAUCAUACUAGUUUCAGUCGAAACAGCAGAUGACGAUUUACUAUUUACCUUCCAUUUCCUAUAAUUACGUUAUGCGUAAUAAUAACCAUAAUAUAAUGAUAAACAUUAUUACCACCACAGAGCAUUAAUAGUGUUAUAAUAGCACUGUUGCUAGGGACGCAUGAAGAUAUAUUUAUGUGACGGCGGCCCCACUACCUGUUUAAUGCAAUGAACGAUACUCAUUCAUCCGAAUAAGAUUCAUUAUACACAUACAUAAUAUUCAGUGUAGUAUCAUUACAUUAUAUAUUAACUCGUAUCGGUAUAUUUUCCUUCAUAUUGUUUUUUUUUUUUAUUCUUCUUCUAUGUUCUUCUUUUGUAUUUAAAGAAGACUCUAAUUGAACGAUUUCGAGACAUCCAUUGAUUUUGUUUUGGCCAAGAAUAUUCAAGGAAAUGGCAAUGAGAAGAUACAAUUGGAUAAACAAGAAGCACACCUAAAAGGAAAUGAUAUAGUAUAGUAAUAAAGAAAUGUAAUGAUAUAAUGGGAAUUAGUGAUAAGAUGGUGAUAGUAAGAAAGGGAAAGAAAAGGAAAAUUAUGUUCAUGAUAUUCUGAAAUUGGAAACAAU